RNAcentral lists this ribosomal RNA (253 nucleotides) under uncultured bacterium. RNAcentral describes it as "partial 16S ribosomal RNA". It matches the Rfam family "Bacterial small subunit ribosomal RNA", at positions 524 to 776 of the family's 1533-position model. The record is from RNAcentral.
UACGGAGGAUGCAAGCGUUAUCCGGAAUGAUUGGGCGUAAAGCGUCCGCAGGUGGCUAUGUAAGUCUGCUGUUAAAGAGUGAGGCUCAACCUCAUAAAAGCAGUGGAAACUACAUGGCUAGAGUGCGUUCGGGGCAGAGGGAAUUCCUGGUGUAGCGGUGAAAUGCGUAGAGAUCGGGAAGAACACCGGUGGCGAAAGCGCUCUGCUAGGCCGCAACUGACACUGAGGGACGAAAGCUAGGGGAGCGAAUGGG